RNAcentral lists this long non-coding RNA (209 nucleotides) under Setaria italica (foxtail millet). RNAcentral's name for it is "long non-coding RNA (SITA_LNC006664)". Lineage: Eukaryota; Viridiplantae; Streptophyta; Magnoliopsida; Poales; Poaceae. The record is from RNAcentral.
GCGACCUAUCGCCUCCUCGAUCGACAUCCUGGAGAGGUCCAGUAGAGACUCGAUCGAGCGAGCGAUCUGCUUGUACUUCUCGGGUACGCAGCGGAGGAGCUUCUCGACAGCUCUCUCCUCGCCGUAGGUGUCGUCGCCGUACUGCACCAUCUUCUGCAACAGAGUGUUGAGACGGAGAGCAAAGUCAUCAACGUCCUCACCUGGCUUGA